UUCGGAUCGCAGGCUGCAACUCGCCUGCGUGAAGUUGGAAUUGCUAGUAAUCGCGGAUCAGCAUGCCGCGGUGAAUACGUUCCCGGGCCUUGUACACACCGCCCGUCACACCAUGGGAGUUUGUAACACCCGAAGUCAGUAUCCUAACCGCGAAGGGGGGAGCUGCCGAAGGUGGGAUAAGCGACUGGGGUGAAGUCGUAACAAGGUACC
Molecule: ribosomal RNA, 210 nt
Filed under: uncultured bacterium
Lineage: Bacteria
Description: partial 16S ribosomal RNA
Rfam family: Bacterial small subunit ribosomal RNA
Source: RNAcentral